GAUGAACGCUGGCGGCGUGCCUAAUACAUGCAAGUCGAACGAGUUCUCGUUGAUGAUUGGUGCUUGCACCGAGAUUCAACAUGGAACGAGUGGCGGACGGGUGAGUAACACGUGGGUGACCUGCCCUUAAGUGGGGGAUAACAUUUGGAAACAGAUGCUAAUACCGCAUAGAUCCAAGAAUCGCAUAGUUCUUGGCUGAAAGAUGGCGUAAGCUAUCGCUUUUGGAUGGACCCGCGGCGUAUUAGCUAGUUGGUGAGGUAAUGGCUCACCAAGGCGAUGAUACGUAGCCGAACUGAGAGGUUGAUCGGCCACAUUGGGACUGAGACACGGCCCAAACUCCUACGGGAGGCAGCAGUAGGGAAUCUUCCACAAUGGACGCAAGUCUGAUGGAGCAACGCCGCGUGAGUGAAGAAGGCUUUCGGGUCGUAAAACUCUGUUGUUGGAGAAGAAUGGUCGGCAGAGUAACUGUUGUCGGCGUGACGGUAUCCAACCAGAAAGCCACGGCUAACUACGUGCUAGCAGCCGCGGUAAUACGUAGGUGGCAAGCGUUAUCCGGAUUUAUUGGGCGUAAAGCGAGCGCAGGCGGUUUUUUAAGUCUGAUGUGAAAGCCCUCGGCUUAACCGAGGAAGCGCAUCGGAAACUGGGAAACUUGAGUGCAGAAGAGGACAGUGGAACUCCAUGUGUAGCGGUGAAAUGCGUAGAUAUAUGGAAGAACACCAGUGGCGAAGGCGGCUGUCUGGUCUGUAACUGACGCUGAGGCUCGAAAGCAUGGGUAGCGAACAGGAUUAGAUACCCUGGUAGUCCAUGCCGUAAACGAUGAAUGCUAGGUGUUGGAGGGUUUCCGCCCUUCAGUGCCGCAGCUAACGCAUUAAGCAUUCCGCCUGGGGAGUACGACCGCAAGGUUGAAACUCAAAGGAAUUGACGGGGGCCCGCACAAGCGGUGGAGCAUGUGGUUUAAUUCGAAGCAACGCGAAGAACCUUACCAGGUCUUGACAUCUUUUGAUCACCUGAGAGAUCAGGUUUCCCCUUCGGGGGCAAAAUGACAGGUGGUGCAUGGUUGUCGUCAGCUCGUGUCGUGAGAUGUUGGGUUAAGUCCCGCAACGAGCGUAACCCUUAUGACUAGUUGCCAGCAUUUAGUUGGGCACUCUAGUAAGGCUGCCGGUGACAAACCGGAGGAAGGUGGGGAUGACGUCAAAUCAUCAUGCCCCUUAUGACCUGGGCUACACACGUGCUACAAUGGAUGGUACAACGAGUUGCGAGACCGCGAGGUCAAGCUAAUCUCUUAAAGCCAUUCUCAGUUCGGACUGUAGGCUGCAACUCGCCUACACGAAGUCGGAAUCGCUAGUAAUCGCGGAUCAGCACGCCGCGGUGAAUACGUUCCCGGGCCUUGUACACACCGCCCGUCACACCAUGAGAGUUUGUAACACCCGAAGCCGGUGGCGUAACCCUUUUAGGGAGCGAGCCGUCUAAGGUGGGACAAAUGAUUAGGGUG
Molecule: ribosomal RNA, 1492 nt
Filed under: Lacticaseibacillus paracasei
Lineage: Bacteria; Bacillati; Bacillota; Bacilli; Lactobacillales; Lactobacillaceae
Description: bacterial SSU rRNA
Rfam family: Bacterial small subunit ribosomal RNA
Source: RNAcentral